This 486-nucleotide ribosomal RNA is filed under the name uncultured bacterium. RNAcentral describes it as "partial 16S ribosomal RNA". It matches the Rfam family "Bacterial small subunit ribosomal RNA", at positions 30 to 507 of the family's 1533-position model. The record is from RNAcentral.
AUUGAACGCUGGCGGCAUGCCUUACACAUGCAAGUCGAACGGCAGCACGGGUGCUUGCACCUGGUGGCGAGUGGCGAACGGGUGAGUAAUACAUCGGAACAUGUCCUGUAGUGGGGGAUAGCCCGGCGAAAGCCGGAUUAAUACCGCAUACGAUCCACGGAUGAAAGCGGGGGACCUUCGGGCCUCGCGCUAUAGGGUUGGCCGAUGGCUGAUUAGCUAGUUGGUGGGGUAAAGGCCUACCAAGGCGACGAUCAGUAGCUGGUCUGAGAGGACGACCAGCCACACUGGGGCUGAGACACGGCCCAGACUCCUACGGGAGGCAGCAGUGGGGAAUUUUGGACAAUGGGCGAAAGCCUGAUCCAGCAAUGCCGCGUGUGUGAAGAAGGACUUCGGGUUGUAAAGCACUUUUGUCCGGAAAGAAAUCCUUGACUCUAAUACAGUCGGGGGAUGACGGUACCGGAAGAAUAAGCACCGGCUAACUACGUG